CCCAACCCAGGGAUCGAACUGUCUUUUAAUUAUAAUCAUCUGACAAUGUUUAUUAACUAACUCCACCAUCUAGACAGAAGAUUUAUGAAAGAGGGACAUCUAGGGCCCUUGGCGUUGCAUCACAAGUGCCCAAGACAACACCUUGCACAAAGCAAAUAAUGCUAGUUGAAUUUAAAAACCUGCCAAAUGUAUCUUGAUUCACAACCCAAUCAUAUAACUUUAGGCAAUUCAUGAUGCUGUACCAAUGAAAUCCAAACCAAAAGAAAAAAAAAUGUAUCUAUCUAAGCAGUCUUUUGGAUCCUUUAAUGCUGUCAUUUAAAAUCUGAUCUUUCUCAAUGUAAAUGUUCUGUCUUGAUGCCUCCUUUAAAAGGUGAGUUUUCUUUGAAAUGAAUGAUGACUUCUAUAAACUUUGUAACCCCCAAAAUUGUUAGAAGUGGAAGUUCUUAAUUAUUGGUAGUAGUGAUUGUGUCUUGAUGGGGAAAAUAACCCCUCAAGGGAAAAUGAAAUUCCUAAAUGCACAGAUUUGACUUAAUACUGUAAAAUAAGUAAGUAAUACAUAUCAAACUUUAAGCUCCAGUAUUCAAUUAACAUAAGAAACUUAAUUCCUCAGUACAGCUGAAUGGUAACUUUCUGACUCCUAGUGACUUAAUGCCUCAAUGUUUGCCUGUUUUAAAAAAAGUAAAAAGCAGGGUUUUGGUUUUUUUUUUUUUCAAAAUGUGUCAUUUUAUUUGAGCCACUUUGGAACACACAUAGUUGCUUUUUUUUUUUUUCCGGUUAACAGAGCAGUACAGGACACCAUUAGCUCCUCCUAAGUAAACUCAACACUCCCCAGGAGGAGAAGGAAAAGGAAACAGGAAAGGGGGAGGGACCACACGGAAAAGUGAAAACAACCUAUCUGCCAAAGGGCUGGUUGUGUAAGGUGAAGCACCUCCUGCAGAAACCAGAUUUCAAACAAAUCUGGAGCGAGGGGUAAGAUCCAACUCUCCAAGUGCUGUUGCAGCAGAUUACCUGAAAAUAAAUUCUGAUGGUACUGAGGACUGAUCUAAUAGAGUAGCAGGGCCCCCUACGUGCUACUCGCAUCAAGUAUCUCUCCACGCCACUCAUCCUCCAUUCUAGGGAAAUACAAAUCACAUCCCCGCUUUAAGCAGGUGAGGAAACUGAGGCUGUCAGAGAGCGAAACUCAUUUGCGCACAGCUGCGGACAGCUGAGAAGUGGUCAAGUCGUAACUGGAACGCAGAGAGAAGCAGAAAGUAAAGAAAGAGAAGCACGAAAAAAAAAAAGAGAGAAGCAUGGUUUUCGGAUCCUAAGAAAGUAAACAGAAUGCUGAGUCAAACAGCUCAGAAGAGUAUAAAGUGAAAUGAAGUCCUUCUGCUCGCCUCCCAGAGGCAGCUGCAAUGAACAGGAUCUUAGUUCCCCAACCAGGAACUGAACCCAGGGCCACAGCAGUGAAAAGUGCCAGGUCCUAACCACUGGCCCACCAGGAAAUUCCCCCGAGGCUGAUCUUGAACUCACCAUCCUCUGAGGACAAGGGCGCUUGAGCCAAAUGCACCACAAGCCUGAGGUGCUGGGAU
Molecule: non-coding RNA, 1571 nt
Organism: Odocoileus virginianus texanus
Lineage: Eukaryota; Metazoa; Chordata; Mammalia; Artiodactyla; Cervidae
Source: RefSeq, a predicted model, not a curated record